This 105-nucleotide ribosomal RNA is filed under the name uncultured bacterium. RNAcentral's name for it is "partial 16S ribosomal RNA". It matches the Rfam family "Bacterial small subunit ribosomal RNA", at positions 1367 to 1482 of the family's 1533-position model. The record is from RNAcentral.
UACGUUCCCGGACCUUGUACACACCGCCCGUCAAGCCAUGGAAGUUGGAGGACCUGAAGACAGUUGCUGUAAGGCGCUGUUUAGGGUUAACUGAUAACUAGGGCU